GCUCAGUCGGUUGAGCAUCUGCCUUCGGCUGUGGUCAUGAUCUCAGAGUCCUGGGAUCGAGUCCCAAGUUGGGCUCCCUGCUCAGUGGGGAGCUGUUUCUCCCCUCUGCCCUUGCUCAUGCUCUCUCUCUUUCUCAAAUAAAAUAAAAUCUUAAAAAAAAAAAAAAAAAAAGCUACACCCUCAUUUAGAACCUGAUGACCUAGACGGAGUCCCAUGGAAACGCAAAGACUCCUUUGGUGCCUUUAGGCCAAAGUCUACACUAAAAGCAGGUGUGGCCAGAUGUGGACUUACUGGUCCGGCCCCUCAGUUGAGAAGCCUUGCUGGAGCUUAGUGAUUGGCUGGAACGACAGCAGUUGCAACAAGACUUCACUUUGGCACGAAAUGGAAAUAAACCAUGGGCUGGGGAGACAGGAAGGCUGGAAAGAGGGAAGGCCAGAAAACUCAUUCCCAUAUGCACACACACCCCAGCAGACUCAUGUGUGUGCACAUGAUAAUACUUUUUUCCUUCAAAACUUGGAUCCUACCAAAUUGUUCUAUAUCCAUUUUUUAAGUUAAAAAUACUUUACAAGCAUUUCCCCAGCUCAGUAAAUAUUCCUAUAAAACAUGUUUAAUAGUCUCAUAGUAUUCCAAUGUGAACAUAUCACAAAUCAUUCGGCGAGUCCUCUGUUGCUGGGUAUUUGGGUUGUCUCCCUCUUCUUUCACGUUUGUAAGUAAUGCUGCAAUGAACAUCCUUGUACAUAAAUCUGUUCCUACAUCUCUGGUUAUUCUUUCAGGGUAAAUUUUGUUUCACUCUGAUAGCAACAAUAAACAACCUGACCUUGGA
This 823-nucleotide long non-coding RNA is filed under the name Mustela putorius furo (domestic ferret). RNAcentral's name for it is "lncRNA (ENSMPUG00000025651.1)". The record is from RNAcentral. Lineage: Eukaryota; Metazoa; Chordata; Mammalia; Carnivora; Mustelidae.